Molecule: long non-coding RNA, 912 nt
Organism: Mesocricetus auratus (golden hamster)
Lineage: Eukaryota; Metazoa; Chordata; Mammalia; Rodentia; Cricetidae
Exons: 2
Source: RefSeq, a predicted model, not a curated record
UUUACCUCCCAAAGGUUAUUGUACUUCAUGCUCGAUGGCCCUUCCUGUAAGAGAGAUCGUCACCAAGAGGGCUGGAAGAUGCAGGAAACCACCUCGUGGGAAAUCACUACAGCCUGACAACCUUAGGUGUGUCACAUGGUGUCAUCUGAAGAGAAUGCAUGGAGUGUUAGCACGCUGUCUCAUUUUGUCAUCAUCAGAUUAUCAUUCCAGAGGACUCCAGAGGCCGGCGUUCUUUGCUUUACCAUAGAAGAAACUUCAGGCUUUAUAAGACUUUUUGGAAAAUGUAACUACAGGUAACAAACGUUCUCAAUGAAGAAGAGGGAAGCAAAGGACAAAAUUCUGUCUUAAAAGCCAUCAAAAUGACCUGCUGAAUGCUGAGUUUAGAACAGUCACUUUUGCCUCUAUCCUGGAGCUCCAUUCGGAGGCCUGCUUACCCAACACUUCAGAAGCCAGAAGAGAGAGAAGACGCUGUUGAGAGCAGAGCGAAGCGGUUCUUGGAGAAAGUGGUGUGAACACCUGGCAGUUAUUGUGGCUACUGCUCCACACUCUGCAUCUAUAGACACUCUUUCUGCCAUGCUCCCUGGUCUUGAGCCAUCACAGACAACUCCCUCUGCAGCAGCUCUGGGGUACUGAGAUAGACAGAUAGACAGAUGGACAGACAGACAGAUGGACAGACAGACAGACACUGAAUAUGUUAGUAUGCACACCUGGCCUUUUCACAUGCCUGCAUUAGUUUAGCAUGCCACAGAUUGUGUACUGUCAGGCCCAUGAGUAAGAGGGUACGGUUACCCAAAAAUGUACUAUUUGCUUCAUGGCCCCUUAUUUUAUCAUUAAUACAAUAAGCACCCUACAUAAUACUUCAUGCUUUUUAUUUCAGAAGUUAAAUAAAAAAUAAGCUAUGUGAAUGCAAAA